RNAcentral lists this long non-coding RNA (1095 nucleotides) under Mustela putorius furo (domestic ferret). RNAcentral's name for it is "lncRNA (ENSMPUG00000031532.1)". The record is from RNAcentral. Lineage: Eukaryota; Metazoa; Chordata; Mammalia; Carnivora; Mustelidae.
UGGUGGUAAUCAUUACCUGCCACCUAACCCGCUGAAUCGUCUGGACAACCCUGUGAAGUAAGACGCAGUAAAUUUAAGCUCCAUUUUACCGAGGAGGCAAGCGAAGUGCAGAGGUUAAUGACUCUCCCAAGGACACACUGAAAACAGGCGAGUGGAAUCCCGGCAUGCCUCUCUCCGAAGGCGAACUGGGUGGUCCACGUGGCGCUGCCGUGUGAGUCCCUAGGGCACCCCGGCUGCAGGCGCGCGCGUGCGCGCGCUCUCCGGGAAGAAAAGCGCUUUGGGGGCAACCCUAGAAACCAGAGCAAGCAGGCAUGCGGGAUUGGAGGAGCCAGACAAGGGCGAAAGUCAGGCGGCGGCCGCUCAAGCAGCUUCUCCAGCUGCGCAACUUCUCCGUUCGGCCCAACUGCAGUUCCUGCGGUCGACACACGGGGGAGCCAGAGCCGGCCAAGAGCUGCCGGCGGUAAAUACCAUAAUUGUCCCAGGUGUGAGGAAUUCAGGAAGGGCUUAGCUGGACGGUUUAUUUUUGCUUCUCUGCCAAGCCAGCCUCCUUACUCACAGGACAAGGCCUCACCACUUCUUGACCUCCCUCUGCAAGUGAUGCCAUCCCCUCCAGGACUCCCCUGCAUGCUUUGGGCUUCUCACAGCUGGUCAUUGCAGUUCAGGUAAGAGGCAGGAUGUAGAACCUGCUGGGCAAGUUAAGGGAUAUGCUUGGAACUAUAACAGUGUCCUUUUGCUAGAUUUUAUUGGCCAGAGAACGUAAACACCAGCCCAAAUUCAAAGGAAAGGAUCGCCGACCUCCUUUCUCUAUGGGAGAACUGUCAAAGAAUUUGUGAUCACCUUUAUUCCACCACAGUAGCUAUUUCCAAAUUGCCCUCCAAUAUGCUGGUUAGUUUACAUUCCUGCAAUGUUUGGGGCUGUCUCCCCAUACCCUCACCAACACUAUACGUUGCAAAACCUUUCAUUGGUGCCAAUCUGGCAGUUGAAAAUGGCAUUUCAUUGCUACUUUGUUAUCUGUUUCUUAAAUUAUGAGUGAAGGUGAGCAUCUUUUCAUGUAUUUACUGUUCAUCUGGAAUUUUUCUUUCUUUAUGAAUUGCC